CACUAGCGUAUACUAAAGUUGUUGCUGUUAAAAAGCUCGUAGUUGGAUAUCAGUCCAAACAGCCUGGCCCGGUUGUGUAUACAACCGCGCGCCUUAACGAUUCGUUCGGCUGCUCGGACUUAAUUCAGGACUGCCGGUCUGGUCAUUUACUUGGCACGGGUCGGCGAGCCCUGAUCUUUUACUUUGAGAAAAUUAAAGUGCUCAAAGCAGGCUGUCGCCUGAAUGCAUUAGCAUGGAAUAAUAAAACACGACUUUGGCAUCGGGUCGUUCACACGAUCCGAACGUUUUGUUGGUUUUGGGCCAAAGUAAUGAUUGAUAGAAACAAUUGGGGAUGCUAGUAUCGCCGGGCCAGAGGUAAAAUUCUUUGAUUCCGGUGAGACUAACUUAUGCGAAAGCAUUCAUCAAGUGUGUUUUCUUUAAUCAAGAACUAAAGUUGGGGGAUCGAAGACGAUCAGAUACCGU
Molecule: ribosomal RNA, 462 nt
Filed under: uncultured eukaryote
Lineage: Eukaryota
Description: bacterial SSU rRNA
Rfam family: Eukaryotic small subunit ribosomal RNA
Source: RNAcentral